GAUGAACGCUGGCGGCGUGCCUAAUACAUGCAAGUCGAGCGAACAGACGAGGAUCUUGCUCCUCUGACGUUAGCGGCGGACGGGUGAGUAACACGUGGAUAACCUACCUAUAAGACUGGGAUAACUUCGGGAAACCGGAGCUAAUACCGGAUAAUAUAUUGAACCGCAUGGUUCAAUAGUGAAAGCCGGUUUUGCUGUCACUUAUAGAUGGAUCCGCGCCGCAUUAGCUAGUUGGUAAGGUAACGGCUUACCAAGGCGACGAUGCGUAGCCGACCUGAGAGGGUGAUCGGCAACACUGGAACUGAGACACGGUCCAGACUCCUACGGGAGGCAGCAGUAGGGAAUCUUCCGCAAUGGGCGAAAGCCUGACGGAGCAACGCCGCGUGAGUGAUGAAGGUCUUCGGAUCGUAAAACUCUGUUAUUAGGGAAGAACAAAUGUGUAAGUAACUAUGCACGUCUUGACGGUACCUAAUCAGAAAGCCACGGCUAACUACGUG
Molecule: ribosomal RNA, 497 nt
Filed under: uncultured bacterium
Lineage: Bacteria
Description: partial 16S ribosomal RNA
Rfam family: Bacterial small subunit ribosomal RNA
Source: RNAcentral